CGACGUUCCGGAGAAGCCGCGCUAGAAACGGUGCCGAAGGUGCAAGGCUGCCAUGCAGCCAAAUCUCUCAGGCAAAAGGACGGAAAAG
This 88-nucleotide non-coding RNA is filed under the name bovine gut metagenome. Its description in RNAcentral is "Glycine riboswitch". It matches the Rfam family "Glycine riboswitch aptamer", at positions 9 to 86 of the family's 94-position model. Rfam says of the family: This family represents the bacterial glycine riboswitch. Glycine riboswitches usually consist of two metabolite-binding aptamers domains with similar structures in tandem. The record is from RNAcentral. RNAcentral also lists the same sequence under 1 other name.